AGGAAUGUGGCUUAGUGGUAGAGUGCUUGCCUACCAUGCAUGAAACCAGGGUUCAAUUCCUCAGUACCA
This 69-nucleotide transfer RNA is filed under the name Dipodomys ordii (Ord's kangaroo rat). It matches the Rfam family "tRNA". From Rfam's summary of the family: Transfer RNA (tRNA) molecules are approximately 80 nucleotides in length. Their secondary structure includes four short double-helical elements and three loops (D, anti-codon, and T loops). Further hydrogen bonds mediate the characteristic L-shaped molecular structure. tRNAs have two regions of fundamental functional importance: the anti-codon, which is responsible for specific mRNA codon recognition, and the 3' end, to which the tRNAs corresponding amino acid is attached (by aminoacyl-tRNA synthetases). tRNAs cope with the degeneracy of the genetic code in two manners: having more than one tRNA (with a specific anti-codon) for a particular amino acid; and 'wobble' base-pairing, i.e. permitting non-standard base-pairing at the 3rd anti-codon position. The record is from Rfam by way of RNAcentral. Lineage: Eukaryota; Metazoa; Chordata; Mammalia; Rodentia; Heteromyidae.